AAAAAACGAUUACAGUUAUCAAAAAUAUUAUGAGACUAUAAACUUUGAAACUUUUAUUGAACUUAAAAUUUAAAAACCUAAAUUGUUAAACCCUAAAUUGAGAUUUAAAGCUGCUAUCAUGGUGAUGAUUUCCAAUAUUGAAUGGUUGAAGGAUGAACAAUUGAAUCACACGCCUAUUCAUUUAAUGGAAGUUACAACAGACAAAACAUUGGAUACUGCACUAGAAUUAACAAUUUUUCACAAACUCACGUUAGUCAGGCCGCGGGAACUUAGGACAUCCUAUGAAAUCGAAUCAAUUGUUCGAGUACUUGGCACAGGAUUUAAAUUUUUUGAACUAUUAUCUCAGGUAA
Daktulosphaira vitifoliae (grape phylloxera) is the source of this 350-nucleotide long non-coding RNA. RefSeq lists it as uncharacterized. The transcript has 3 exons. NCBI's taxonomy places the organism in Eukaryota, Metazoa, Arthropoda, Insecta, Hemiptera, Phylloxeridae. The record is from RefSeq and is a predicted model, not a curated record.